This 727-nucleotide ribosomal RNA is filed under the name Halobacillus profundi. RNAcentral describes it as "bacterial SSU rRNA". It matches the Rfam family "Bacterial small subunit ribosomal RNA", at positions 57 to 751 of the family's 1533-position model. The record is from RNAcentral. Lineage: Bacteria; Bacillati; Bacillota; Bacilli; Caryophanales; Bacillaceae.
GCAAGUCGAGCGCGGGAAGCGAGUGGAUCCCUUCGGGGUGACGCUCGUGGAACGAGCGGCGGACGGGUGAGUAACACGUGGGCAACCUGCCUGUAAGAUCGGAAUAACCCCGGGAAACCGGGGCUAAUGCCGGGUAAUACUUUCUUUCGCAUGAAGGAAAGUUGAAAGAUGGCUUCUCGCUAUCACUUACAGAUGGGCCCGCGGCGCAUUAGCUAGUUGGUGAGGUAACGGCUCACCAAGGCGACGAUGCGUAGCCGACCUGAGAGGGUGAUCGGCCACACUGGGACUGAGACACGGCCCAGACUCCUACGGGAGGCAGCAGUAGGGAAUCUUCCGCAAUGGACGAAAGUCUGACGGAGCAACGCCGCGUGAACGAUGAAGGUCUUCGGAUCGUAAAGUUCUGUUGUUAGGGAAGAACAAGUACCGUGCGAAUAGAGCGGUACCUUGACGGUACCUAACGAGGAAGCCCCGGCUAACUACGUGCCAGCAGCCGCGGUAAUACGUAGGGGGCAAGCGUUGUCCGGAAUUAUUGGGCGUAAAGCGCGCGCAGGCGGUUCCUUAAGUCUGAUGUGAAAGCCCACGGCUCAACCGUGGAGGGUCAUUGGAAACUGGGGAACUUGAGGACAGAAGAGGAGAGUGGAAUUCCACGUGUAGCGGUGAAAUGCGUAGAUAUGUGGAGGAACACCAGUGGCGAAGGCGACUCUCUGGUCUGUUUCUGACGCUGAGG